Molecule: ribosomal RNA, 426 nt
Filed under: uncultured bacterium
Lineage: Bacteria
Description: partial 16S ribosomal RNA
Rfam family: Bacterial small subunit ribosomal RNA
Source: RNAcentral
GUGGGGGAUAUUGCACAAUGGGGGAAACCCUGAUGCAGCAACGCCGCGUGAAGGAAGAAGGUCUUCGGAUUGUAAACUUUUGUCUUGCGGGACGAAUAAUGACGGUACCGCAGGAGGAAGCCACGGCUAACUACGUGCCAGCAGCCGCGGUAAUACGUAGGUGGCGAGCGUUGUCCGGAAUUACUGGGUGUAAAGGGUGCGUAGGCGGAUUUGCAAGUCAGGUGUGAAAACUAUCGGCUUAACCGGUAGCCUGCACUUGAAACUGUAAGUCUUGAGUGGUGAAGAGGUAAGCGGAAUUCCUAGUGUAGCGGUGAAAUGCGUAGAUAUUAGGAGGAACACCAGUGGCGAAGGCGGCUUACUGGGCACUAACUGACGCUGAGGCACGAAAGCAUGGGGAGCAAACAGGAUUAGAAACCCCAGUAGUCC